UGAAUCGUGUACCGUUAAAAGGUUUCAUCCAACUGAAGGCUGUUAAAUUUGAGGCGUUUUUAUUUUUUAUAAAUAGGUGGUUUUGACCAGCAGCUGGAUAUUUACCUACAAACACAUUCAGUCCAGUUCUUCUGAACUUUAUCCUCAAAACUAUUUCUAUUAUAUGCAUUAAUAAAGCCGCUAAUAUAAAAAUAAAUAUAUAAAAUUUUUAGAUUUUCAUAUCAACUAUCCAUUACAUAUUCGUUCUAGUAUGUAAAUACUAAUAAACUUUAAAAUGCAAUUUAACUAGGCCAACCUAUUAUGUCAAAAAGAUUCAAUCUAACUUUGGCUUAUUAUUUCAAAAAUGUUUUCCAAAUAUUUGUAU
RNAcentral lists this unclassified non-coding RNA (364 nucleotides) under Melitaea cinxia (Glanville fritillary). RNAcentral's name for it is "misc RNA ENSMCXG00005001771.1". The record is from RNAcentral. Lineage: Eukaryota; Metazoa; Arthropoda; Insecta; Lepidoptera; Nymphalidae.